Molecule: ribosomal RNA, 407 nt
Filed under: uncultured bacterium
Lineage: Bacteria
Description: partial 16S ribosomal RNA
Rfam family: Bacterial small subunit ribosomal RNA
Source: RNAcentral
GACGAACGCUGGCGGCGUGCCUAAUACAUGCAAGUCGAACGCAGUUGCGAACGGGUGAGUAACGCGUAGGUAACUGCCUCUUAGCGGGGGAUAACUAUUGGAAACGAUAGCUAAUACCGCAUACUUUGAGAUGGUCCUUUGUUGUAUUAGCUAGUUGGUGGGGUAAAGGGACACCAAGGCGAAGAUUCAUAGCCGGCCUGGGAGGGUGAACGGCCAAACUGGGACUGGGACACGGGCCAGACUCCUUCGGGGAGGAGCAGGUGGGAAACUUCGGCAAAGGACGGAAGGCUGACCGAGGAACGCCGGGGUGGUGAAGGAAGUUUUCGGGUCGUAAAAGUCUGUUGUUAGGGGAGCGGUAACUAACCAGAAAGGGACGGCUAACUACGUGCCAGCAGCCGCGGUAAUAC